AGAAGUCGUAACAAGGUUUCCGUAGGUGAACCUGCGGAAGGAUCAUUGUCGAAACCUGSCAAGAAGAACGACCUGCGAACUCGUAUAGAAACCACAGGGGGUGCUUGUGGCGGGCUUGACUGCCCCCCGCUCUCUUCCCCCUUGUCGGGUGCGCUAUUGAACUGCGUCCCUCGGCUAAAAAACAAAACACCGGCGCGAAUCGCGUCAAGGAAUUCAAACGAGAGAAGAGAAGCGCGCCCCCUGGGUUCUCGUUCGCGAGUGAAGCUGUGGGGGGUGGCGGUCACGUCUUUUAUGAACAUAACGACUCUCGGCAACGGAUAUCUCGGCUCUCGCAUCGAUGAAGAACGUAGCGAAAUGCGAUACUUGGUGUGAAUUGCAGAAUCCCGUGAACCAUCGAGUCUUUGAACGCAAGUUGCGCUCGAAGCCAUUAGGCUGAGGGCACGUUUGCCUGGGCGUCUCACAUCACGUCGCCUCCGCCCUGUGCUCGCAAAGGGUUCUUGGGUUGAUGAGGGUGGAUUUUGGCCCCCCGUGUGCCUAAGUGCGCGGUCGGCCUAAAGAUAAGUCCCUGGCGACGAACGUCACGAUAACGGUGGAUGUGAUAACGUUGCGUCACGUCGUGCACGUCUUCGUCCCAACGGGUUACUUUUAUUUUUGACCUUGAAAGCACCGUCUCCACGGAGCCUCGAUCGCGACCCCAGGUCAGGCGGGUUUACCCGCUGAGUUUAAGCAUAUCAAUAAGCGGAGGAAAAGAAACUUACAAGGAUUCCCCUAGUAACGGCGAGCGAACCGGGAAU
This 794-nucleotide ribosomal RNA is filed under the name Achrouteria pomifera. RNAcentral's name for it is "eukaryotic LSU rRNA". The record is from RNAcentral. Lineage: Eukaryota; Viridiplantae; Streptophyta; Magnoliopsida; Ericales; Sapotaceae.